CCCUUAGAUGUUCUGGGCCGCACGCGUGCUACACUGACCGGCGCAACAAGUUUCUUUCCUUGGCUCGAUAGGCCUGGGUAAUCUUUGAACGCCGGUCGUGAUGGGGAUAGAUCCUUGCAAUUUUUGAUCUUCAACGAGGAAUUCCUAGUAAAUGCGAGUCAUCAUCUCGCGUUGAUUACGUCCCUGCCCUUUGUACACACCGCCCGUCGCACCUACCGAUUGAAUGGUCCGGUGAAGCCUCGGGAUUGCGAAUGCUUCGUGCGGACGCGAGAACUUGGCUAAACCUUAUCAUUUAGAGGAAGGUGAAGUCGUAACA
This 316-nucleotide ribosomal RNA is filed under the name uncultured eukaryote. Its description in RNAcentral is "partial 18S ribosomal RNA". It matches the Rfam family "Eukaryotic small subunit ribosomal RNA", at positions 1470 to 1796 of the family's 1831-position model. The record is from RNAcentral.